UAGGGAAUCUUCCGCAAUGGACGCAAGUCUGACGGAGCAACGCCGCGUGAGUGAAGAAGGAUUUCGGUUCGUAAAACUCUGUUGUUAGAGAAGAACAGCGCAUAGAGUAACUGUUAUGCGUGUGACGGUAUCUAACCAGAAAGCCACGGCUAACUACGUGCCAGCAGCCGCGGUAAUACGUAGGUGGCAAGCGUUGUCCGGAUUUAUUGGGCGUAAAGCGAGCGCAGGCGGUCAAUUAAGUCUGAUGUGAAAGCCCCCGGCUCAACCGGGGAGGGUCAUUGGAAACUGGUUGACUUGAGUGCAGAAGAGGAGAGUGGAAUUCCAUGUGUAGCGGUGAAAUGCGUAGAUAUAUGGAGGAACACCAGUGGCGAAGGCGACUCUCUGGUCUGUAACUGACGCUGAGGUUCGACAGCGUGGGUAGCAAACAGG
RNAcentral lists this ribosomal RNA (429 nucleotides) under Bacteroidota bacterium. Its description in RNAcentral is "Bacteroidetes bacterium partial 16S ribosomal RNA". It matches the Rfam family "Bacterial small subunit ribosomal RNA", at positions 355 to 776 of the family's 1533-position model. Lineage: Bacteria; Pseudomonadati; Bacteroidota. The record is from RNAcentral.